AUUGAACGCUGGCGGCAUGCUUCACACAUGCAAGUCGAACGGUAACAGGUUAAGCUGACGAGUGGCGAACGGGUGAGUAAUGCAUCGGAACGUGCCCGAUCGUGGGGGAUAACGCAGCGAAAGCUGCGCUAAUACCGCAUACGAUCUGAGGAUGAAAGCGGGGGACCGUAAGGCCUCGCGCGAUCGGAGCGGCCGAUGUCAGAUUAGGUAGUGGGUGGGGUAAAGGCCACCCAAGCCGACGAUCUGUAGCUGGUGGGAGAGGACGACCAGCCACACUGGGACUGAGACACGGCCCAGACUCCUACGGGAGGCAGCAGUGGGGAAUUUUGGACAAUGGGCGAAAGCCUGAUCCAGCAAUGCCGCGUGCAGGAAGAAGGCCUUCGGGUUGUAAACUGCUUUUGUACGGAGCGAAAAGGUCCUUUCUAAUACAAGGGGCUCAUGACGGUACCGUAAGAAUAAGCACCGGCUAACUACGUGCCAGCCGCCGCAGUAA
Molecule: ribosomal RNA, 493 nt
Filed under: uncultured bacterium
Lineage: Bacteria
Description: partial 16S ribosomal RNA
Rfam family: Bacterial small subunit ribosomal RNA
Source: RNAcentral